Molecule: transfer RNA, 104 nt
Filed under: Elizabethkingia anophelis
Lineage: Bacteria; Pseudomonadati; Bacteroidota; Flavobacteriia; Flavobacteriales; Weeksellaceae
Description: tRNA-OTHER
Rfam family: tRNA
About the family: Transfer RNA (tRNA) molecules are approximately 80 nucleotides in length. Their secondary structure includes four short double-helical elements and three loops (D, anti-codon, and T loops). Further hydrogen bonds mediate the characteristic L-shaped molecular structure. tRNAs have two regions of fundamental functional importance: the anti-codon, which is responsible for specific mRNA codon recognition, and the 3' end, to which the tRNAs corresponding amino acid is attached (by aminoacyl-tRNA synthetases). tRNAs cope with the degeneracy of the genetic code in two manners: having more than one tRNA (with a specific anti-codon) for a particular amino acid; and 'wobble' base-pairing, i.e. permitting non-standard base-pairing at the 3rd anti-codon position.
Source: RNAcentral
GGGGAAAUAGCUCAGAUGGUGGAGCGUCUUAGAAUACAGUUCGAAUCUGUUUACAGUUUUGGUAACUCUAGGAAAGGGUGUUGGUUCGACUCCAACUUUCUCCA